CAGAUUUUAUCCAAUCAUUAUAGCUUCCAGCCUCAUUUCAAGAAUUUAUAUCAUGGGGAAUUGUCUGGGAAUGGACUUUCGAAGCCAACCUGGACAACCAGAGAGCCAGAGGAUUACGCGAUUUCCUCCACGUUUUAAACAUGGAGUCCAGAAGAGAAGCAGAAGUGUAAGCUUUUCUUUGAACACUGAAGCUAAUGCAGGAACUGUGAAACACGAUGAGAAAUACGGAGCUCACGAUUUCGUGAAGGUUGCCAUGAUAGACAACAAGCUUCAUGUCUACAACAUUACAUCCUUCAGUUACAACACCCUGAAGGCUGCGACGCAGAAGUUCAGCAAGAAGAAUCUGCUAGGCGAAGGUGGCUCGGGCGAUGUUUUCAAGGGCUGGAUAAAUCUUUCCACCAUGACUGCUGCAAAACCGAAAGGCGGUCACCCUGUUGCAGUCAAGAGGCUAAAACAGGAAAGACUUCAAGGCCGGGAAGAAUGGAUGGUAGGAAAACUGAUAAUGUGGCCGUUUGACUAAACUUAUUUUUCAGAAAUAAGGGCUUAUUGCUGAAAAAAAAAGUACAUCAAACUCAACUUUUUUAUGAAAUAAGUCCUUAUUUUUUUCCCACAUAAUGAAUAUUAAACACCUUCUUAACAUUUGUAUCCAACAAAAUUAUAAAAAUAUACAUUUUAGGAAGAAAAAAAAAUAAGCCCUUGAUAAGGGCUUGAUUUAUGUAGCCAAACAGGCUCAAUGUUCUUGAUUUUACGGGCAAUUAAGCCAGUGUUUGUACUAAUACAUCUUGUUGCAGACAGAACUAAGUUUUCUGAAAAGGUUGAACCAUCCAAAUGUGGUUAAAAUCAUAGGAUACUGCUGUGAGGAUGACCACAGUAUGUUGGUUUUCGAAUACAUGCCUAAAGGAAGCUUAGAAACAAGUCUACUAGAAGGUAAGCCCCGAGCUAAUAUACGCUAAUCCAAGCACAAAAUGUGGCAUAAGUAAAGAAGUUUUAUAUGACACAAGCAGGAGAGAGUGACCUGAACUGGAGUACAAGACUCAAAAUUGCUGUUGGCUCUGCAAAAGGCUUAGAGUAUCUGCAUGGAACAAGCUUACCAGUCAUUCACCGCGAUAUGAAGUCUUCUAACAUUCUUCUCGACGAUGACUAUACACCAAAAAUCUCAGAUUUCGGACUAGCUAAGUUCGGGCCUCAAGAUGACAAGAGUCACACCUCUUCCAGGGUGCUGGGAACUAAAGGCUACUUUGCCCCUGAGUACGUAGGAACAGCUUCGGAGUAGUACUCCUUGAAAUCCUGUCUGGGCGUUUAGCAGUCACUAGGUCAUAUUCUGGAGGGUCUGAAGAUCUAGUCGAGUGGGGAAAACCAUUUCUUGACAGUAAGCAACAAUUGCAUUGCAUUAUUGACAAGAAAAUGGGAAGGACCAUGACAAGAAAAGAAGCAAACAGAUUUGCUAAAAUCAUACGCCAGUGCCUUAACCAGAAGCCAAAACGAAGACCAACUAUGAAAGAGGUGGUGCGAUCCCUAGAAGAAUUAGAACAGGGCUUGAACCAAAAUGGUCAGAAACCAGUUCACUGUUUUAUGAAGAAUCAAAAACAUAACCACCCUCAAUACUUGCAUGACCACAAAAAAGAUUAUUGUUCUACAACUUCAGUAGCGUAGGCGCGUAGCGAUAAACAAUGAAGUAGACCUAAAUGUAAUACUCUUAUCUAGCACUUGAGUUAUAUAUAAGUAAUUAAUGUACCAACAUGUAUCAAUGGUAGGUCUAAAAACGUCUCAAUACUAUCACUUUCGCAUAUAAUCACAAUAGUUAACUGAUCAUGCACAAAGUACAUCUAUCAAUCAUCGUAGACAACUGACAACAUACUAUUCUGCAGAUGGCAAGAUUCUAUACCAAAAGACUAUA
This is an RNA transcript of Daucus carota subsp. sativus, 1897 nucleotides long. It is a transcript of the gene named receptor-like cytoplasmic kinase 176, with no coding region annotated. The transcript is spliced from 5 exons. NCBI's taxonomy places the organism in Eukaryota, Viridiplantae, Streptophyta, Magnoliopsida, Apiales, Apiaceae. The record is from RefSeq and is a predicted model, not a curated record.